This 584-nucleotide ribosomal RNA is filed under the name Bacillus cereus. RNAcentral describes it as "bacterial SSU rRNA". It matches the Rfam family "Bacterial small subunit ribosomal RNA", at positions 65 to 614 of the family's 1533-position model. Lineage: Bacteria; Bacillati; Bacillota; Bacilli; Caryophanales; Bacillaceae. The record is from RNAcentral.
AGCGAAUGGAUUAAGAGCUUGCUCUUAUGAAGUUAGCGGCGGACGGGUGAAGUAACACGUGGGUAACCUGCCCAUAAGACUGGGAUAACUCCGGGAAACCGGGGCUAAUACCGGAUAACAUUUUGAACCGCAUGGUUCGAAAUUGAAAGGCGGCUUCGGCUGUCACUUAUGGAUGGACCCGCGUCGCAUUAGCUAGUUGGUGAGGUAACGGCUCCACCAAGGGCAACGAUGCGUAGCCGACCUGAGAGGGUGAUCGGCCACACUGGGCACACUGGGAGACACGGCCCAGACUCCUACGGGAGGCAGCAGUAGGGAAUCUUCGCCGCAAUGGACGAAAGUCUGACGGAGCAACGCCGCGUGAGUGAUGAAGGCUUUCGGGUCGUAAAACUCUGUUGUUAGGGAAGAACAAGUGCUAGUUGGAAUACAAGCUGGCACCUUGACGGUACCUAACCAGAAAGCCACGGCUAACUACGUGCCAGCAAGCCGCGGUCAAUACGUAGGUGGCAAGCGUUAUCCGGAAUUAUUGGGCGUAAAGCGCGCGCAGGUGGUUUCUUAAGUCUGAUGUGAAAGCCCACGGCUCAACC